GAGGGCGGGUGCGGGGCGCCGGGGUACAACCGGGGGGUGAAGGGGUGGCGUCGUGUAUUGGGUUUAAAGGGGCCGUGGCCGGCUUGGCAAGUCCUGUGGGAAAUCUGGCAGCUCAACUGGCGGGCUUCUGAAGGAAACUGCUAGGCUUGGGACCGGGAGAGGUUAGAGGUACUUCAGGGGUAGGAGUGAAAUCCUGUAAGCCCUGAGGGACCGCCGGUGGCGAAGGCGUCUAACCAGAACGGGUCCGACGGUGAGGGACGAAAGCUAGGGGCACGAACCGGAUUAGAUACCCUGGUAGUC
RNAcentral lists this ribosomal RNA (300 nucleotides) under uncultured Rhodospira sp. RNAcentral's name for it is "bacterial SSU rRNA". The stretch from base 56 to 300 matches the Rfam family "Archaeal small subunit ribosomal RNA", at positions 502 to 746 of the family's 1478-position model. The record is from RNAcentral. Lineage: Bacteria; Pseudomonadati; Pseudomonadota; Alphaproteobacteria; Rhodospirillales; Rhodospirillaceae.